GACAUGAUGGCUGAGCGUAUAGGCGGUGGAUUGUAACCCCAAGAACAGAGGUUCGAGUCCUCUUCAUGUCA
RNAcentral lists this transfer RNA (71 nucleotides) under Symbolophorus californiensis (bigfin lanternfish). RNAcentral describes it as "tRNA-Tyr". It matches the Rfam family "tRNA". Rfam says of the family: Transfer RNA (tRNA) molecules are approximately 80 nucleotides in length. Their secondary structure includes four short double-helical elements and three loops (D, anti-codon, and T loops). Lineage: Eukaryota; Metazoa; Chordata; Actinopteri; Myctophiformes; Myctophidae. The record is from RNAcentral.